CUACGGGAGGCAGCAGUCGGGAAUUUUGCGCAAUGGCCGCAAGGCUGACGCAGCAACGCCGCGUGAGUGAAGAAGGCCUUCGGGUUGUAAAGCUCUGUUGCCUGCGAAGAAACCUACCUUCAAGGAAUGGGAGGUAGCUGACGGUAGCAGGAGAGGAAGCCCCGGCUAACUACGUGCCAGCAGCCGCGGUAAUACGUAGGGGGCGAGCGUUGUCCGGAUUUAUUGGGCGUAAAGGGCGUGUAGGCGGCCUGUCAAGUCCGAAGUGAAAGCCCGCAGCUCAACUGCGGGACUGCUUCGGAAACUGGGAGGCUUGAGUGCUCUAGAGGGCAGUGGAAUUCCCGGUGUAGCAGUGAAAUGCGUAGAGAUCGGGAGGAACACCAGUGGCGAAGGCGACUGCCUGGGGAGCAACUGACGCUGAGGCGCGAAAGCUGGGGGAGCAAACGGGAUUAGAUACCCGUGUAU
Molecule: ribosomal RNA, 462 nt
Filed under: uncultured bacterium
Lineage: Bacteria
Description: bacterial SSU rRNA
Rfam family: Bacterial small subunit ribosomal RNA
Source: RNAcentral